This is a long non-coding RNA of Homo sapiens (human), 1294 nucleotides long. RefSeq lists it as uncharacterized. The record is from RefSeq and is a predicted model, not a curated record. The transcript has 4 exons. Lineage: Eukaryota; Metazoa; Chordata; Mammalia; Primates; Hominidae.
ACCCGGCCCCAGCAGGUAUUUUUAAAGAAAUUGACAUACUGCUUCUAAGACUUAUCUGGAAAUGCAAACAAUCUAGAAUAGCUAGAAAAUUUUAGAAAAGAAGAGCCAAGUUGGAAAAUGUAUUCCUCCUGACUUUAGUAUUUACUAUAAAGCCACAGUAAUCAAAACAAUGCGGUUCUUGGUAAGGAGAGACAAUAGAUCAAUGGAAUAGAAUAGAGUCCAGAAAUAAACUCAUGCAUAGAUGGUCAACUGAUUUUUGGCCAAAACACCAAUUCAAUUCAGUGUAGAAAAUAAAAUUUGUUAGCAGGUUCUGCUAGAACAACUGAAUACUGUAUUGGAAAAAAAAUGACCCUCAAUCUCUACCUUAUGCUAUACAGGCAAAAAUUAAUUCAAGAUGGAUCAUAACGUAAACAUGAAAUUCAGAACCAUAAACACUCUAGAAGAUGGAAGAUAUCUUCCUGACCUUGGGGUGAAAAACCUGAGGCAUGAUGACUUAUUCCAGUUGGCACAGCUAGCAAAUGGGUCAGACAGCACUCCAACCACCACACUGCCCUCUGGUCCGUCCCUGCUACCUCUGGCUAUUUUAGGAGGGCCACAUGGUGCCCCAGAAAGAGCACCCAAGCCAGAACCUCUCUGAGAUGUAGGGCCUGGUGUUCCAGCCACACACUUUCUGUCUGUGUAACUCGGGGAGCUCUCUCUGGGAAACUGCCCCUUGCUUCACCCACUCCUGGCCUCCUGCUGUGCCAUUUCCAGGAAAGAAGCUACCAUGACCUCCUUCAUUGUUCAAGAACCCCAAGUUCUUGGGUCCAGCCUAAACCGUUCCUGGGACUGGAUGAAAAAUAUGUCUGUGGGCUCUGUUUUCCAUGACUGUAGGACAGGACGUCCCACCCUUUCUUAGUCCGUAACGCACCUUUGGACAUGAUGGAAUAUACGAAGGGGCCUCCACCCACAGCAUGACCAAUCCCCAGCAUCCAAAAUCGCACACAUACCAAUAUGUGCACACACACACUCACACCCACACCCAUAAAGAUUUUGCACUCCUUGAAGGUACACUAACUCACCAUUUUUAUCAUACUUAUCCCAGUGUGCCACAGUUACUGGCUUAUAUGCCUGUCUCUGCUAUCUUAUUUUAUCUGUCUCCACAACACAGCAAACUACCUGGCCUUCAAUAAAGGGCUUAUGAAUUAUUCAUGAAUCCAUUUUGCCAGGUGCCUAGCCCUGUGUCUGGCUUGAAGCAGGUGUUCCCAAGGUGUGGCAUGGCUGAGUGAAUACAAAUAAAAGGUAUACAAAAGCA